RNAcentral lists this ribosomal RNA (761 nucleotides) under uncultured bacterium. RNAcentral describes it as "bacterial SSU rRNA". It matches the Rfam family "Bacterial small subunit ribosomal RNA", at positions 771 to 1532 of the family's 1533-position model. The record is from RNAcentral.
AACAGGAUUAGAUACCCUGGUAGUCCACGCUGUAAACGAUGUCGAUUUGGAGGUUGUGCCCUUGAGGCGUGGCUUCCGGAGCUAACGCGUUAAAUCGACCGCCUGGGGAGUACGGCCGCAAGGUUAAAACUCAAAUGAAUUGACGGGGGCCCGCACAAGCGGUGGAGCAUGUGGUUUAAUUCGAUGCAACGCGAAGAACCUUACCUACUCUUGACAUCCAGAGAACUUAGCAGAGAUGCUUUGGUGCCUUCGGGAACUCUGAGACAGGUGCUGCAUGGCUGUCGUCAGCUCGUGUUGUGUAAUGUUGGGUUAAGUCCCGCAACGAGCGCAACCCUUAUCCUCUGUUGCCAGCGGUUCGGCCGGGAACUCAAAGGAGACUGCCAGUGAUAAACUGGAGGAAGGUGGGGAUGACGUCAAGUCAUCAUGGCCCUUACGAGUAGGGCUACACACGUGCUACAAUGGCGUAUACAAAGAGAAGCGACCUCGCGAGAGCAAGCGGACCUCAUAAAGUACGUCGUAGUCCGGAUUGGAGUCUGCAACUCGACUCCAUGAAGUCGGAAUCGCUAGUAAUCGUAGAUCAGAAUGCUACGGUGAAUACGUUCCCGGGCCUUGUACACACCGCCCGUCGCACCAUGGGAGUGGGUUGCAAAAGAAGUAGGUAGCUUAACCUUCGGGAGGGCGCUUACCACUUUGUGAUUCAUGACUGGGGUGAAGUCGUAACAAGGUAACCGUAGGGGAACCUGCGGCUGGAUCACCUCCUU